RNAcentral lists this unclassified non-coding RNA (357 nucleotides) under Hevea brasiliensis (rubber tree). Lineage: Eukaryota; Viridiplantae; Streptophyta; Magnoliopsida; Malpighiales; Euphorbiaceae. The record is from RNAcentral.
GGUCUUUUCUUAUAAUUAAACUUGUCUUUAUCAUCAUGUAUAAAUACUAGUGCCUGCUAGACUCUCUGCUCACAAGUCUAACUUGACAAAUUGUACCUCAGUGUAGUAAAAGAUGAAGGGAAGAGAGGAGCAGAGUCACUGUUAUUUAAUGAGUGUUCUGCUGUUCUAAUGUUAAUUAAGUGAAAUUAAAAUAUAAUUUAAAAACUAAAAUGACUUGACUGAACAAUUAGGCCAAUUAACCUACUAAUAAUUAAGUCAAUUCUAGUCAACAUUGAUAAUGAACUGUUAUUUUUAUGCAGUCUGAAUUUUAAAUAUAUUUUCAUAGAUUUAAAUUGUGAUUCGAUUCGAAAGUUUUAC